RNAcentral lists this ribosomal RNA (62 nucleotides) under Maxillaria trilobata. Its description in RNAcentral is "partial 26S ribosomal RNA". Lineage: Eukaryota; Viridiplantae; Streptophyta; Magnoliopsida; Asparagales; Orchidaceae. The record is from RNAcentral.
GCGACCCCAGGACGGGCGAGGCCACCCGCCGAGUUUAAGCAUAUCAAUAAGCGGAGGAGNAG